Molecule: ribosomal RNA, 440 nt
Filed under: uncultured bacterium
Lineage: Bacteria
Description: partial 16S ribosomal RNA
Rfam family: Bacterial small subunit ribosomal RNA
Source: RNAcentral
CCUACGGGUGUCAGCAGUGGGGGAUAUUGCACAAUGGGGGAAACCCUGAUGCAGCGACGCCGCGUGUGUGAAGACGUAUUUCGGUAUGUAAAGCUCUAUCAGCAGGGCAGAAAAUGACAGUACCUGAACAAGAAGCCCCGGCUAACUACGUGCCAGCAGCAGCGGUAAUACGUCGUGUGCAAGCGUUAUCCGGAUUUACUGGGUGUAAAGGGGGCGUAGACGGUUAUGUAAGUCUGGAGUGAAAGCCAGGGGCCCAACCCCGGGACUGCUUGGGAAACUGUGUAACUGGAGUACAGGAGGGGCAGGCGGAAUUCCUGGUGUAGCGGUGAAAUGCGUAGAUAUCAGGAGGAACACCGGCGGCGAAGGCGGCCUGCUGGACUGAAACUGACGUUGAGGCUCGAAAGCGUGGGGAGCAAACAGGAUUAGAUACCCGGGUAGUC